UGACCCGUCUUGAAACACGAACCAAGGAGUCUAUCUAGUAUGCAAGUAAAUGAGCAUAUGAAACUUAUUUGCAUAAAAAACUUGACUGUUAUGGGACUACGAGUUGUAUUAACAUACAGCUCCUCCAUCCCGGGGUAUUUUUAUCAACAUAUGCAGCAAUGUAUAUGGAAAAUAUACCAUGAGCAUACUGGAUAUGACCCGAAAGAUGGUGAACUAUGCCUGAUCAGGUUGAAGUCAGGGGAAACCCUGAUGGAGGACCGAAGCAAUUCUGACGUGCAAAUCGAUUGUCAGAAUUGGGCAUAGGGGCGAAAGACCAAUCGAACCAUCUAGUAGCUGGUUCCUUCCGAAGUUUCCCUCAGGAUAGCUGGAGCAUAGAAAUAUCUUUUUCUAACUCAUACCUGGUAAAGCGAAUGAUUAGAGGCCUUAGGAACGAAAUGUUCUUAACCUAUUCUCAAACUUUAAAUGGGUAUGUAAGCUAACAUACUUGAUUGAUGUUGGCCUGGUGGUAAACGUAAGUUUAUCUGUAAGAUUGUAUGCGCCCAGUGGGCCAAGUUUUGGUAAGCAGAACUGGUGCUGCGGGAUGAACCGAACGCAUUGUUAAGGCGCCCAAAUAAACGACGCAUCAUCGAUACCAUGAAAGGUGUGAUGCUGAAGACAGCGUCAUGGC
RNAcentral lists this ribosomal RNA (667 nucleotides) under Metriocnemus intergerivus. RNAcentral describes it as "eukaryotic LSU rRNA". It matches the Rfam family "Eukaryotic large subunit ribosomal RNA", at positions 645 to 1249 of the family's 3401-position model. Lineage: Eukaryota; Metazoa; Arthropoda; Insecta; Diptera; Chironomidae. The record is from RNAcentral.